GACGAGCGCUGGCGGCGUGCCUAAUACAUGCAAGUUGAGCGCUGAAGGUUGGUACUUGUACCAACUGGAUGAGCAGCGAACGGGUGAGUAACGCGUGGGGAAUCUGCCUUUGAGCGGGGGACAACAUUUGGAAACGAAUGCUAAUACCGCAUAAAAACUUUAAACACAAGUUUUAAGUUUGAAAGAUGCAAUUGCAUCACUCAAAGAUGAUCCCGCGUUGUAUUAGCUAGUUGGUGAGGUAAAGGCUCACCAAGGCGAUGAUACAUAGCCGACCUGAGAGGGUGAUCGGCCACAUUGGGACUGAGACACGGCCCAAACUCCUACGGGAGGCAGCAGUAGGGAAUCUUCGGCAAUGGACGAAAGUCUGACCGAGCAACGCCGCGGGAGUGAAGAAGGGUGUCGGAUCGUAAAACUCUGUUGGUAGAGAAGAACGUUGGUGAGAGUGGAAAGCUCAUCAAGUGACGGUAACUACCCAGAAAGGGACGGCUAACUACGUG
RNAcentral lists this ribosomal RNA (497 nucleotides) under uncultured bacterium. RNAcentral's name for it is "partial 16S ribosomal RNA". It matches the Rfam family "Bacterial small subunit ribosomal RNA", at positions 28 to 507 of the family's 1533-position model. The record is from RNAcentral.